Triticum aestivum (bread wheat) is the source of this 135-nucleotide non-coding RNA. The record is from Rfam. NCBI's taxonomy places the organism in Eukaryota, Viridiplantae, Streptophyta, Magnoliopsida, Poales, Poaceae.
UAGAUACUCUCUCCGUCCCAAAAUUCCUGUCUUAGAUUUGUCUAGAUACGGAUGUAUCUAACACUAAAAUGUAACUAGAUACAUCCGCAUUUAGACAAAUCUAAGACAAGAAAUUUGAGACGGAGGGUGUAGAUU